Molecule: ribosomal RNA, 450 nt
Filed under: uncultured bacterium
Lineage: Bacteria
Description: bacterial SSU rRNA
Rfam family: Bacterial small subunit ribosomal RNA
Source: RNAcentral
AGCGAACGCUGGCGGCAGGCCUAACACAUGCAAGUCGAACGAACCCUUCGGGUUAGUGGCGGACGGGUGAGUAACACGUGGGAACGUACCUUUAGGUUCGGAACAACACAAGGGAAACUUGUGCUAAUGCCGAAUGUGCCCUUCGGGGGAAAGAUUUAUCGCCUUUAGAGCGGCCCGCGUCUGAUUAGCUUGUUGGUGAGGUAAAGGCUCACCAAGGCUACGAUCAGUAGCUGGUCUGAGAGGAUGAUCAGCCACACUGGGACUGAGACACGGCCCAGACUCCUACGGGAGGCAGCAGUGGGGAAUCUUGCGCAAUGGGCGAAAGCCUGACGCAGCCAUGCCGCGUGAAUGAUGAAGGUCUUAGGAUUGUAAAAUUCUUUCACCGGGGAAGAUAAUGACGGUACCCGGAGAAGAAGCCCCGGCUAACUUCGUGCCAGCAGCCGCGGUAAU